GGGGAAUUUUCCGCAAUGGGCGAAAGCCUGACGGAGCAACGCCGCGUGAGGGAGGAAGGCCUUAGGGUUGUAAACCUCUUUUCUCUGGGAAGAAGAUCUGACGGUACCAGAGGAAUAAGCCUCGGCUAACUCCGUGCCAGCAGCCGCGGUAAGACGGAGGAGGCAAGCGUUAUCCGGAAUUAUUGGGCGUAAAGCGUCCGUAGGUGGUUAAGCAAGUCAGUUGUUAAAGCCCACAGCUCAACUGAGGAUCGGCAAUUGAAACUGAAUGACUUGAGUGUGGUAGGGGUAGAGGGAAUUCCUAGUGUAGCGGUGAAAUGCGUAGAUAUUAGGAAGAACACCAGUGGCGAAGGCGCUCUACUGGGCCAUAACUGACACUGAUGGACGAAAGCUAGGGGAGCGAAAGGGAUUAGAUACCCCAGUAGUC
This 424-nucleotide ribosomal RNA is filed under the name uncultured cyanobacterium. RNAcentral's name for it is "bacterial SSU rRNA". It matches the Rfam family "Bacterial small subunit ribosomal RNA", at positions 356 to 795 of the family's 1533-position model. The record is from RNAcentral. Lineage: Bacteria; Bacillati; Cyanobacteriota.